RNAcentral lists this ribosomal RNA (515 nucleotides) under uncultured bacterium. Its description in RNAcentral is "partial 16S ribosomal RNA". It matches the Rfam family "Bacterial small subunit ribosomal RNA", at positions 28 to 523 of the family's 1533-position model. The record is from RNAcentral.
GAUGAACGCUGGCGGCGUGCCUAAUACAUGCAAGUCGAGCGAAUGGAUUAAGAGCUUGCUCUUAUGAAGUUAGCGGCGGACGGGUGAGUAACACGUGGGUAACCUGCCCAUAAGACUGGGAUAACUCCGGGAAACCGGGGCUAAUACCGGAUAACAUUUUGAACCGCAUGGUUCGAAAUUGAAAGGCGGCUUCGGCUGUCACUUAUGGAUGGACCCGCGUCGCAUUAGCUAGUGGGUGAGGUAACGGCUAACCAAGGAAACGCUGCGUAGCCGACCUGAGAGGGUGAUCGGCCACACUGGGACUGAGACACGGCCCAGACUCCUACGGGAGGCAGCAGUAGGGAAUCUUCCGCAAUGGACGAAAGUCUGACGGAGCAACGCCGCGUGAGUGAUGAAGGCUUUCGGGUCGUAAAACUCUGUUGUUAGGGAAGAACAAGUGCUAGUUGAAUAAGCUGACACCUUGACGGUACCUAACCAGAAAGCCACGGCUAACUACGUGCCAGCCGCCGCCGUAA